Molecule: ribosomal RNA, 169 nt
Filed under: uncultured bacterium
Lineage: Bacteria
Description: partial 16S rRNA
Rfam family: Bacterial small subunit ribosomal RNA
Source: RNAcentral
CGGGAGGCAGCAGUGAGGAAUAUUGGUCAAUGGGCGAGAGCCUGAACCAGCCAAGUCGCGUGAAUGAAGAAGGCGAUACAACGUUGUAAAGUUCUUUUGCAGGGGAGUAAAAAGAGGCACGUGUGCCUUAUUGUAUGUACUUUGCGAAUAAGGAUCGGCUAACUCCGUG